CGCGGAGUGGAGCAGUUGGUAGCUCGUCGGGCUCAUAACCCGAAGGUCGUAGGUUCGAGUCCUGCCCCCGCUA
Molecule: transfer RNA, 73 nt
Filed under: Schleiferiaceae bacterium
Lineage: Bacteria; Pseudomonadati; Bacteroidota; Flavobacteriia; Flavobacteriales; Schleiferiaceae
Description: tRNA-Met
Rfam family: tRNA
About the family: Transfer RNA (tRNA) molecules are approximately 80 nucleotides in length.
Source: RNAcentral